This 388-nucleotide ribosomal RNA is filed under the name uncultured bacterium. RNAcentral's name for it is "partial 16S ribosomal RNA". It matches the Rfam family "Bacterial small subunit ribosomal RNA", at positions 523 to 918 of the family's 1533-position model. The record is from RNAcentral.
AUACGUAGGUGGCAAGCGUUAUCCGGAAUUAUUGGGCGUAAAGAGUGAGCAGGCGGUUCAUUAAGUCUGAGGUUAAAGCGAGGGGCUCCACCCCAUAAAGCCUUGGAAACUGAUUGACUAGAGUACGGGAGAAGUGAAGGGAACUGCAUGUGUAGCGGUGAAAUGCGUAGAUAUAUGGAAGAACACCAGUGGCGAAGGCGCUUCACUAGCCCGAAACUGACGCUCAGUCACGAAAGCGUGGGUAGCAAAUAGGAUUAGAUACCCUAGUAGUCCACGCUGUAAACGAUGACAACUAAAUAUUGUCGCGAGGCAGUGUUGAAGCUAACGCAUUAAGUUGUCCGCCUGGGGAGUACGGUCGCAAGACUGAAACUUAAAGGAAUUGACGGGG